CUUAGCCCAGAGGAGAAGUCACAGAAAAAAAAAGAGGCUUAAAUCAACUCUGAGCAAAAAGAGGGAGGGCAAAAGGAGGGAGGGAGAAAACGCCCUGGAAAUCUGGUGGAUAGAGAACUAGGAAAACAGCAAGACUCCUGACAGACUGCAAACUUGUGACAGUGUGAACGUACACUUCUUGGGCUGGGGUGCAGGGGAAAAGACGUUUCCAAGGAUGCUCAAGUCGAUGUGAGGCUUCUUGGGCGCAAAGAUUGCGCACAGAAGUCGAGAAUCAAGAACACAAGUAGCAGACUGAAGCCCUUGGCUUUGCUUGAGCAAUCCAAGG
This is a long non-coding RNA of Nematolebias whitei (Rio pearlfish), 325 nucleotides long. RefSeq lists it as uncharacterized. The transcript is spliced from 2 exons. The record is from RefSeq and is a predicted model, not a curated record. Lineage: Eukaryota; Metazoa; Chordata; Actinopteri; Cyprinodontiformes; Rivulidae.